RNAcentral lists this ribosomal RNA (451 nucleotides) under uncultured soil bacterium. RNAcentral describes it as "bacterial SSU rRNA". It matches the Rfam family "Bacterial small subunit ribosomal RNA", at positions 26 to 518 of the family's 1533-position model. The record is from RNAcentral.
AGGAUGAAUGCUGGCGGCGUGGAUAAGGCAUGCAAGUCAAGGGGGCCGCAAGGCAACCGGCAGACGAGGUAGUAAUACGCAGGUACGUACCGAAAAGUCGGGCAUAGCUCGUCGAAAGACGGGGUAAUUUCCGAUAGUCCCUACGGGGUAAAGGAGCAAUCCGCUUUUUGAACGGCCUGCGGAGCAUCAGCUAGUUGGUAAGGUAAUGGCUUACCAAGGCUAUGACGCUUAGGGGACCUGAGAGGGUGACCCCCACCGAUGGUACUGAGACACGGACCAUACACCUACGGGUGCUGCAGUCGAGAAUCUUCCACAAUGGGCGAAAGCCUGGAUGGAGCGACGCCGCGUGAUGGAUGAAGUCCUUAGGGACGUAAACAUCUUUUAUGCGUGAGAAAAGUAUUGAUGUUAGCGCAUGAAUAAGAGGCUCCUAACGUCUAGUGCCAGCAGCCGC